Ictidomys tridecemlineatus (thirteen-lined ground squirrel) is the source of this 578-nucleotide non-coding RNA. Lineage: Eukaryota; Metazoa; Chordata; Mammalia; Rodentia; Sciuridae. The record is from RefSeq and is a predicted model, not a curated record.
CCUAGAAAUAGCAUCCGAACGCGCACCGCCCGACCAGAUUUCCCCCAAGCUGCUAAGAUUUCAUUUCACCUCCGACAGGCUUCGUGGGGACUCGCUGUUAAAAGAUCACUCUCCCGGGAUGCAGGCAGUGGGAGGGGGCCCGGGACUGUAUACAGCUGUCAAAACGUCUCCGACAGGAGGCUCGGGCACAUCUGCACGAGCCUGUCUCAGGCUGCGGGGCACCCAGGGAGCGCCUCCAACCUAUCAGGGUUCUUCCUGCGUGGAGCUCCAAACAGUCUGCUGACAUUCUCUCUCAUCCCAUCAAUCCCCUGCCUGUUGAUACAUAACCAUGGUGUAUGGUCCCUCCUGAGGAACUCUUUCAUCUGACUCCAAUGUGAAGCAAGAUGACUCUGUCACUGUACUUCCUCCAUGAUUGAUGUAUGAAUAUAGAUAGAUGCCAGGUGACUGAUAAAAAUACAGGAAUUCUUGGUAUUAUGAUGAUGCCAUUCUCCACGAGGCCCUACCAGAACUAUGCAGAAGCCAGUGCUAUACUUGUGAACCUUCAUAACUGUAAGCUAAAUAAACCUCUUUUCUUUACA